RNAcentral lists this ribosomal RNA (508 nucleotides) under uncultured bacterium. RNAcentral's name for it is "bacterial SSU rRNA". It matches the Rfam family "Bacterial small subunit ribosomal RNA", at positions 10 to 507 of the family's 1533-position model. The record is from RNAcentral.
AGUUUGAUCAUGGCUCAGAUUGAACGCUGGCGGCAGGCCUAACACAUGCAAGUCGAACGGUAACAGGAAACAGCUUGCUGUUUCGCUGACGAGUGGCGGACGGGUGAGUAAUGUCUGGGAAACUGCCUAAUGGAGGGGGAUAACUACUGGAAACGGUAGCUAAUACCGCAUAACGUCGCAAGACCAAAGAGGGGGACCCUCGGGCCUCUUGCCAUCGGAUGUGCCCAGAUGGGAUUAGCUUGUUGGUGGGGUAACGGCUCACCAAGGCGACGAUCCCUAGCUGGUCUGAGAGGAUGACCAGCCACACUGGAACUGAGACACGGUCCAGACUCCUACGGGAGGCAGCAGUGGGGAAUAUUGCACAAUGGGCGCAAGCCUGAUGCAGCCAUGCCGCGUGUAUGAAGAAGGCCUUCGGGUUGUAAAGUACUUUCAGCGGGGAGGAAGGGAGUAAAGUUAAUACCUUUGCUCAUUGACGUUACCCGCAGAAGAAGCACCGGCUAACUCCGUG